CCCCGCGCGCGCGCGCACGCGCACUGUUGCUCCCCGCACCGCCUAGUUGAGCUCGGCCCGGCUCCCGCCCAGGCGGCGGCCGACGCGAAGGCUUGAGCGCCUGCCUCCGUCCCACAGCCGCCCGGCAGGUCCGCUGUCGACACUGCCGCUGAGGUUGGCCCAGCCCCGUAGGAGGCGGAGAGAUGCUAGGUUCUGUGAAACAGACCAUCCAGCUCUCGUCCUUGGCUCCUUUCCCCCGAUUUGUCCAGCCCACCCAGGGGAAGGCAGCACUUGGGUUAAUUGGCACGGCCUGCUUGCGCUAAAGAUAAUCACCAGGGCUCUUUGAAGAGAAUUACGUUUUGUCUGCCUGGACUGUGCUGCAUUUCAGACAUGCGGGUAACAAAAUAGGAAGCACCCCUGAAGGUGGGUCUUGGACUCUGAUCACAGAAGGGACAAGAGCAGCACAGUACCUGCAAAGGACUAGCGAGGAGUUACGUGCAGAGGAUGCGUCGUUUGGAACGGCACGCGCUACAGGGCUCAGUGAGGUGGUCAGAUUUUUAAAAUUCUUUUUCCUGGAAAUUAAUU
Non-coding RNA from Kogia breviceps (pygmy sperm whale), 564 nucleotides. Lineage: Eukaryota; Metazoa; Chordata; Mammalia; Artiodactyla; Physeteridae. The record is from RefSeq and is a predicted model, not a curated record.